UCCGCCCUGGGUUAGUCGGGACCUAAGCUGAGGCCGAAAGGCGUAGGUGAUGGACAACAGGUUGAUAUUCCUGUACUACCGAUAACCGUUUGAGAGAUGGGAUGACACAGUAGGAUAAGCUAAGCACACUGUUGGUUAUGUGUGCCCAAGCAUUGAGGCAGUCAAAGUAGGUAAAUCCGCUUUGAUAAUGCUGGGAUGUGAUGGGGAGCGAAAUUUAGUAGCGAAGUAGCUGAUUUCACACUGUCAAGAAAAGUCUCUAUCGAGGUUAAA
This 270-nucleotide ribosomal RNA is filed under the name Clostridioides difficile. Its description in RNAcentral is "partial 23S ribosomal RNA". It matches the Rfam family "Bacterial large subunit ribosomal RNA", at positions 1369 to 1636 of the family's 2925-position model. Lineage: Bacteria; Bacillati; Bacillota; Clostridia; Peptostreptococcales; Peptostreptococcaceae. The record is from RNAcentral.